This 253-nucleotide ribosomal RNA is filed under the name uncultured bacterium. Its description in RNAcentral is "partial 16S ribosomal RNA". It matches the Rfam family "Bacterial small subunit ribosomal RNA", at positions 524 to 776 of the family's 1533-position model. The record is from RNAcentral.
UACGUAGGGGGCAAGCGUUGUCCGGAAUAAUUGGGAGUAAAGUGUGUGUAGGCGGCUUGAUAAGUUUGUUGUGAAAGUCCAGGGCUCAACCCUGGGAUGCCGGUGGAUACUGUCGAGCUCGAGUCCGGAAGAGGCGAGUGGAAUUCCUGGUGUAGCGGUGAAAUGCGCAGAUAUCAGGAGGAACACCAAUGGCGAAGGCAGCUCGCUGGGACGUGACUGACGCUGAGACGCGAAAGCGUGGGGAGCAAACAGG